AUUGAACGCUGGCGGCAUGCUUUACACAUGCAAGUCGAACGGUAACAGGUCCUCCGAUCCGGACGCGUGGCGCACGCGGGUGUGAUAUACCUGAAAGCGCCCGAACUAGGGGGGUAACGGACCGCAAGAUUCGCUAAUAUACCACACGAUACACGGGUGAAAGCGGGGGACAGCAACGGACCUCGCGCACGUGGCGGGCCCGAUGGCAGAUUAGCUAGUUGGUGGGGUAAAGGCCUACCAAGGCGACGAUCUGUAGCUGGUCUGAGAGGACGACCAGCCACACUGGGACUGAGACACGGCCCAGACUCCUACGGGAGGCAGCAGUGGGGAAUUUUGGACAAUGGGCGAAAGCCUGAUCCAGCCAUGCCGCGUGCAGGAUGAAGGCCUUCGGGUUGUAAACUGCUUUUGUAGGGAACGAAAAGAAUCGUGCCAAUAAAGAGGGUCGAUGACGGUACCGGAAGAAUAAGCACCGGCUAACUACGUG
This 484-nucleotide ribosomal RNA is filed under the name uncultured bacterium. Its description in RNAcentral is "partial 16S ribosomal RNA". It matches the Rfam family "Bacterial small subunit ribosomal RNA", at positions 29 to 507 of the family's 1533-position model. The record is from RNAcentral.